CAGUCGCCGCGGUAAUACGAAGGGUGCAAGCGUUACUCGGAAUUACUGGGCGUAAAGCGUGCGUAGGUGGUGGUUUAAGUCCGUUGUGAAAGCCCUGGGCUCAACCUGGGAAUUGCAGUGGAUACUGGGUCACUAGAGUGUGGUAGAGGAUAGUGGAAUUUCCGGUGUAGCAGUGAAAUGCGUAGAGAUCGGAAGGAACAUCUGUGGCGAAGGCGACUAUCUGGCCUAAUACUGACGCUGAGGUACGAAAGCAUGGGGAGCAAACAGGAUUAGAUACCCGUGUAGUCCCUGUCUCUUAUAA
Molecule: ribosomal RNA, 301 nt
Filed under: uncultured bacterium
Lineage: Bacteria
Description: partial 16S ribosomal RNA
Rfam family: Bacterial small subunit ribosomal RNA
Source: RNAcentral